This is a long non-coding RNA of Gorilla gorilla gorilla (western lowland gorilla), 1088 nucleotides long. RefSeq lists it as uncharacterized. The record is from RefSeq and is a predicted model, not a curated record. The transcript is spliced from 3 exons. NCBI's taxonomy places the organism in Eukaryota, Metazoa, Chordata, Mammalia, Primates, Hominidae.
UCUGUAAAUGCUGGACAGGACAAAAGAUUCACCAAGGACUCCAGGCAGGUGGCCUGGAGAAGAGGGUGGCGCUGGCAUGUACCUGGGGCCAGGCAGGAGAAGAGAACAUGGCUUUUUGGGGUGGCUGCAGCAGCCUGGCCCCUCCAGCAGCUGCACGGGAAAGAAGGAAAGCUCUGUAAGGCUGACCGGGAAAGAAGAGAGGAGCUCUGGGGGCUGGGUGGAAAGUCCCGUACUCAUCAGGGCCAGGGAGGCCACAGAAACUACCUCACGCCAGCUUCCCAGAGGUACAGCGGCUAGAAUGGACCUCCAGGAGGCCCCUCCCAAGACUCCCGUCUCCCGGGUUCCACCGUAGUGGGGGCAGCCACAGCUGCCUCUGCAAUGCUUGUAGGACCCACACACAGUGGGGCAUGGAGGGGCAGAGGCCGCAGCCCCUUUGCCAUGAAUCCAAAGAACCUGGAGUGAUUCUGCAGAGACGUUCGAACCAGAGUGACUCCAUCUUGAACAGGGGCUGGGUAAAAUGAGGCCCAGACCGGCUGGGCCGCAUUCCCUGGAGGUCAGGCAUUCUUAGUCAGGAUGAGAUCAGCACAAGAUACAGAUCACAAAGACCCCGCUGAUAAAACAGGAUGCCGUGAAGAAGCCGGCCCCAAACCACCAAAACCAAGACAGCCAGUCCUCACUGCUCAUUAUGUGCUGAUUAUAAUACAUUAGCAUGAGACACGCCCACCAGCACCAGGACCAUUUACGGUUGCCAUGGCAAUGCCGGGAAGUUACCCUAGAUGGUCUAAAAGGGGGAGGAACCCUCACUUCCGGGAAUUGCCUGCCCCUUUCCCGGAAAAGUCCGGAAUAAUCCACGCCAUGUUUAGUACAUAUCAAGAAACAACAAUAAGUGUUCUCGGUGGAGUAGCCCAGGCCGCUGCUCAGCCUAUGGGGCAGCCCUUCUCUUAUUCCUUUACUUUCCUAUUAAACUUGCCUUCAGUUUACUCAGUGGACUCCCCCGAAUUCUUCCUUGUGUGGGGUCCAAGAACCCUCUCUCGGGGUCUGGAUCGGGACCUCCUUUUCCGGUGACAGUCCCUGGGACUUAGUAGCAG